Molecule: RNA transcript, 2138 nt
Organism: Vigna radiata var. radiata (mung bean)
Lineage: Eukaryota; Viridiplantae; Streptophyta; Magnoliopsida; Fabales; Fabaceae
Gene name: sialyltransferase-like protein 5
Exons: 12
Source: RefSeq, a predicted model, not a curated record
GUCUGAUUUGACACCAUAUCAAAACGCGAUUCUCCCCUCUAAACGCGCUUCCCUUUGGGUUUCCAAUUCGUUUUUCGGACAGCUGAAGGUGUUCAUUCUCUGCCACGUUUUCGUUCCAUUGUAGAUGACAUUGUUCAGUCUCUUUCUCUCUGAGCCUGCAAACACCAAUGAGGCAGCACAAGCAGGUUUCAGCCCUUAACCGGCGACCCACCGUUCUUUAUCUGGUGUGCGCGGCUGCAUUGUUCUCAGUCCUUCUCUUCUACAUCCAAUCCUCUCUCUUCGCAGGAUCCCUUUCUUCGGCUCGCAAAUCCGAAAUUAUCCGCGUCUUGUCUAACUUUCAGUCCAGUGUUCAGCAAUGUGUGGAUAAGAGGGGGCUAGGACUCACUGCUCAUAUUAUUGACCAUUGUAAUUUGAUCCUUAAAUACCCUGAAGGUACCAACAGCUCUUGGUACAACGCACAGUUUAAGCACUUUGAGCCGUUGGAGUACAAAUAUGAUGUGUGUGAGGCAAUCCUGUUGUGGGAACAGUAUCGGAACAUGACAACUGUGUUGACCAGAGAGUAUCUUGAUUCUCGACCUGGUGGUUGGAUGGAUUACGCUCCACAAAGGAUAGCACAGUUGGGGGCAAAGAAGUGCACCAACAAGACUCUUUGUGAAGAGAACCUCAAUGUGUUAUUACCUGCAAAGCCCCCAUUUCACCCACGGCAGUUCCCAACUUGUGCUGUUGUUGGGAAUUCUGGGGACCUUCUGAAGACUACAUUCGGGAAAGAAAUUGAUAGCCAUGAUGCUGUUUUUCGGGACAAUGAGGCCCCUGUUAAUGAGGAAUAUGCCAAAUAUGUUGGCCUUAAGAGGGAUUUCCGUCUAGUUGUCAGAGGUGCUGCGCGUAACAUGGUCCCUAUUCUAAAAGGAUCUGACACUGAGGUUCUCAUAAUCAAAAGUCUGACACAUAGAGAAAUCAAUGCAGUUAUAAAGACCAUACCCAAUCCAGUCUAUCUCUUCCAAGGAAUCGUACUACGUCGAGGUGCCAAAGGAACUGGAAUGAAAUCUAUUGAGUUAGCGCUCUCCAUGUGUGAUAUCAUUGAUAUAUAUGGAUUCACUGUUGAUCCGGGAUACACUGAAUGGACAAGAUACUUCUCUAAGCCUAGAAAGGGACACAAUCCACUUCAAGGAAGAGCGUAUUACCAACUUCUAGAAUGUCUUGGGGUAAUCAGGAUUCACUCGCCCAUGAGAUCUAAAAGGAGGGAAGACUGGUCAGAUAUACCUAGUAGAGAAAUGAUAAGGCAAGCACAUGCAGCAGCUUUGCGCUUGAAAAGGAAUGAAGACGGUCAUGGAGGUGAUUUAGGGCAGUUUGGCAAUUGUAAGGUGUGGGGCAAUGUGGAUCCAGAGAACAGUGGACCUGUCUCAGGAUCACCAGACAUGAGUGAUGUCAGGAAAUAUUCAAAUUAUAGUAAAUGGGAAGUGAUGCCUUUUGAGAGUUUGAGGAGGGAAGCACAGGAUCAUUAUAACCAGAUGCAAGGGGUCUCUCUAUAUAAAAUGGACGGAAAUAAGUUGGAUGAUCUAGUCUGUGUGAGACAUUCCUUAAAAUCUGAGGCGUAAAUGGUGCCUUUGCUUUCUAUUGAUAUUAUUUGAUCUUGCCCAACCUUCUAACGAAUCUGGGAUGAAGUUACUUUCUGAGGGCUGCUGACAUAGCUUCCCAACAGCGUUCUGUUUCUUCACUUAUUCAGCCAGAGCGUAGCACCAAUCUCAACCUCAAGUGAAAAAAUGGAGAGAAUAUGCAUAAUUCCACCAAUCCAGGUGAUUCAUGUUAGGGCCUAGAAAUCAAACUACAGGAAUUCUGACCCCAGAAGUUUGUUGUACCAUUUUUUUUUCAGUUCUGGAAUGGACAGUCCUUAGUCCGUGGCAUGAUAGGGUAUUUCGGGGAGAGGCUUGUGAUGAUCUUGGAGGAACUUUCUGUGAAAGUUUCAGAAGAAUGAGUAUUAGACCGAACACAAAAUCUUCAUGUUUUCAUGUCUACUUAACUUUUCAUAUCAACUUCUAGUGAUUGAUGUGUUUGGUUGUACAUAGUUACGGACUCUUUUGAGUUUCGUAUAAAUUUUACAAUAAUUAUACACUAAAUUUGAUAGCUUUGGCUCUCUCUUC